GGGGCCUGUGUGACCGGGCCACAGCCUAUCACGGGAGUUAAACCGAGAGGUUCCUCCAGUAUGCUGCUGGUUCCUGUGAGAGUGCGGGCUGAAACCUCGAAGGGAGCUGGCCGAUAUCCCAUGGUGGAUUCCACGUCGUUUACGGCGUGGAGGAGGUCAAUAAGCGUCUAUAC
This 173-nucleotide unclassified non-coding RNA is filed under the name Haladaptatus litoreus. Its description in RNAcentral is "HgcC family RNA". The record is from RNAcentral. Lineage: Archaea; Methanobacteriati; Methanobacteriota; Halobacteria; Halobacteriales; Haladaptataceae.